AUGAUGCCGGGGAGGCAAACACCUCGACAUGAGCGACGCCUGGGCUGUGCUCCAAGCCGUGAUACACGAACCGUGUGGCUCAUCCCACAGGUUAUUCCCCCAAAGGUGCCAGCUCCUGAAAGCCUGGGCUUUGCCCAAGGAGGUCACCACUGUGGGGCUUCUCCUGAGAUAUCUGGUCUCCUUCAAAGUGGCAUCCACAGGAGGGAAAUAAGCAGAAGUUACUCUAACUCCAGCUCAUAA
RNAcentral lists this long non-coding RNA (240 nucleotides) under Lepidothrix coronata (blue-crowned manakin). RNAcentral's name for it is "lncRNA (ENSLCOG00000010431.1)". The record is from RNAcentral. Lineage: Eukaryota; Metazoa; Chordata; Aves; Passeriformes; Pipridae.